GAGGCCGUUGUCAACAUUGAGUACACAUUAUUGCAUAAAAUUAUGUGAACCACAAUUGUCCAAUUAGCAACUUGGAAUUGACAAAGCUCUGACAAACAACCAAGGCAAAUAUUUGGCACACUCACAUCAUUGAAGCGGCAUAAGGAGAAAUAGCCGCAUAUCAAAAUAUGUUGGAAAGCUAAACAAGAAGGUCACAGCAUGAAUUUAAGUGACCAAAGCAUAGUUUGUGUAACCUCUUAUGUCUCACUGAAUAAACUACUAACUCGAUGUAUACUCCAGGUGCUUAUGGAGAAUAGAAUUAUGAUCAAGUAGUGAACGCGAUGAUUACAAUCCCUGCAAACACCAUAACAAUGAUGAUAAGAAUUAUGAUCAAAUGAAGCUAGUGUCGGAAUCAGAGUCUAUAAAUACGGCCACUCACAGACUGAGCAAUGCACUGCCACUGCAAGUACCAUAUUAGCAGCAGCUGGUUGGCCAAUUAGGUGCUAAUAAUAACUAGCUAGUUGCACCAGUAACCAGCUAGAAAGAGGCAUGGCAAUGGAGGUCGCCGUCGGUGGCACGAGGAUGCCGGUGGCGGCGCUGGUUCUCGUGGCACUGGCCAUGGUCUGCCUGUCCGGCAACGGGGCGGCGGCGCAGCAAGCGAGCAGCGUGGCGGCGACGUACAACCUGUACAACCCAGAGAAGAUCAACUGGGACCUGCGCGCCGCCAGCGUCUACUGCGCGACGUGGGACGCCGACAUGCCGCUGGCGUGGCGGAAGAGGUUCGGCUGGACGGCGUUCUGCGGCCCCGCCGGCGCGCACGGCCAGCCGUCCUGCGGCCGCUGCCUCCAGGUACCCUACUCAUAUCCCUGUCUCCGUCUAUGGAUGAUACGUGUAAGGAGAUGUGUGCCUUUCAUGCUUUGUUUGAUCGGCGGGACGCUGUCGUCAGGUGACGAACAGGGCGACGGGGGCGCGGACGGUGGCGAGGGUGGUGGACCAGUGCGACAACGGCGGGCUCGACCUCGACGUCGCCGUGUUCCGGCGGAUCGACACCGACGGAGGCGGCGUCGCCAACGGACACCUCGUCGUCGACUACGAGUUCGUCGGCUGCCAGGGCUGAUCAUGCUCCAGCAGAUCACCGCAUGCUGCUGCAUCAUAUUCAUAUACUUACGACCGUUGCGGCGAAUAAAUAUGCAUGGGAAAUCAGUGGUACGUACUAGUGCCGGCAAGAAUAAAAACGCAACCGAAAUCAAUAUCGGCCUCUGAUGUUAAUUCGAUCGAGGCUUGCAGUUGCAGCAUGUACGUGUUGUUUUCCGUUUCUGAAUGAAUAUCUCGUUAUGUAUCUCAGAAUAUAUAGUCGAAAUGACAGGUUUUAUGUCUCGGCAUCAAGCCACGUAAUCUGGCUACUUGAUGUGGGUUUAUUAUCAAGCAAUUUUCGAAUAGUUUUAACUCGUAAAAACAUUUCUCAACGAUCCCUUAUAAUUCAGGCCCUCAAGGGGACCGUCAAACCUUAAUUCCUCACAAUUGAGGGUUCAAAAACGGUUCCUGGCCAAACUCUUAAAUUUAACUUUCUACUACUUUUUUUCUCACGAAUUCAUUUCAAACAUAGAUUGAAGCUACUCGAUUCAAACGCAGAUUUAAAUAAAGGUAGCACAACUUGAUACGUUGCAUAACAUGAACUUAGACUACUUGUUUCAAACCUCCGUAUGAUUCGCUCGACGACGAGCUCCGGAUGAUUCCCUAGAAGUGUAUAAUUCGCUCGACGACGAGCUCCAGAUGAUUCCCUAGAAGUGUGGCGAUGUAUGGCUCAUUGGUGCGGGAGGCCUCCCGAUUCUCCCACACCUCACGGCGGGAGACCACUCGAGGGGUCAAUGAUGGCAAGCUCCAGGACAUCGCAGUUGUCGAGGGAUGAGUUUAUCUACUGUCGAAGGCAAACCACCAUCUCGCUCGGCCCACACACAUGUUCAAGUAUUUUCAAACUGCAUCACCUCAGGCUUCAGCGAAAAAAUUGGUUAGGAG
This 1995-nucleotide long non-coding RNA is filed under the name Hordeum vulgare. RNAcentral's name for it is "long non-coding RNA (HVUL_LNC016860)". The record is from RNAcentral. Lineage: Eukaryota; Viridiplantae; Streptophyta; Magnoliopsida; Poales; Poaceae.